This 564-nucleotide ribosomal RNA is filed under the name uncultured Gammaproteobacteria bacterium. RNAcentral's name for it is "bacterial SSU rRNA". It matches the Rfam family "Bacterial small subunit ribosomal RNA", at positions 362 to 919 of the family's 1533-position model. Lineage: Bacteria; Pseudomonadati; Pseudomonadota; Gammaproteobacteria. The record is from RNAcentral.
UAUUGGACAAUGGGCGCAAGCUGAUCCAGCCAUNCCGCGUGGGUGAAGAAGGCCUUCGGGUUGUAAAGCCCUUUUGUUGGGAAAGAAAUCCAGCUGGUAAUACCCGGUUGGGAUGACGGUACCCAAAGAAUAAGCACCGGCUAACUUCGUGCCAGCAGCCGCGGUAAUACGAAGGGUGCAAGCGUUACUCGGAAUUACUGGGCGUAAAGCGUGCGUAGGUGGUCGUUUAAGUCCGUUGUGAAAGCCCUGGGCUCAACCUGGGAACUGCAGUGGAUACUGGGCGACUAGAAUGUGGUAGAGGGUAGCGGAAUUCCUGGUGUAGCAGUGAAAUGCGUAGAGAUCAGGAGGAACAUCCAUGGCGAAGGCAGCUACCUGGACCAACAUUGACACUGAGGCACGAAAGCGUGGGGAGCAAACAGGAUUAGAUACCCUGGUAGUCCACGCCCUAAACGAUGCGAACUGGAUGUUGGGUGCAAUUUGGCACGCAGUAUCGAAGCUAACGCGUUAAGUUCGCCGCCUGGGGAGUACGGUCGCAAGACUGAAACUCAAAUGAAUUGAUCGGGG